UGCCAAUGAUGAGUUGCCAUGCUAAUCCUGACGCAGCAGCUAGAUUCCCCUGGGAUUUGUGCUGGGGGCGAAUGAGUUAACCCAAACUUCUCACUUUGUGAGCCCUGAGGCCA
Non-coding RNA from Pelobates cultripes (western spadefoot toad), 113 nucleotides. NCBI's taxonomy places the organism in Eukaryota, Metazoa, Chordata, Amphibia, Anura, Pelobatidae. The record is from the annotation of a GenBank genome assembly.